CUGUGCUUUUCUCAUGGAAAGUGAAUGGGAAAAUGCAUGCGUAAGCCAAGGGGUUUUGCUCAGCUGAGAGCUCUGCAGCUGUCCUGCUAGGAAAUGAACACGACACAGGGCAGAGAGCUGUACAAGAGCUCAGGGGCCCCUCGUAUCUCGAAGGAAGGGGAAACAGAGGUCAACAGCUCUGGCCAGUCUUGCACUUCCCCAGGGCUACAGCUCUGCAAAUCAGAUUGCUGCAGGGAGAACAUUUUUUGGAGCUGACACUUCACUACCAGGCCAAAGAUGGGAAGCCCGAUACCCGGACCAAGGUUUUUCAGCCAGAGCACUGGCCCAAGACAUCGCAGCACGAAUUUUACAAGUUCUCAUGUUUGGGACAAGUACUGUGAUUUAUCCACACUACAAUGUCUUUCUUCAACAGCCAAGCAGAGUACAGUACAACACAGUGUCACCACAGCAUCAGCACACUGGAAUGCUGAAUUUAUUUGCACAAGAAUGUUCCAGGCAGAAGCUUUCCAAUGAAAGAGACAGCGUAAUUUUGGGGGUAACCCUUACUGGAACAGAGCUCCUCGUUCAGUGUCAAGAGAAAGUGACAUUUCUGAUUCUGACAGGACUCUUGACUGUAAAAACACAGGCUGGAGCAAGUGGCAGAGGCAAGCUGAGCUGCUUUGAGGAAAUACUGCAAUGCUUUCUUACAGAUGCAACUAACUGGCUGGUGGGACACCAGUGGGACCACCCUGAGAUCUCAGCAACAUUUUCCCGACCAGUGCUACCAAUGAAUGUAGCCUUGUAUUUCUUACUGGAGGUCAGAGAAAGAAUGGGAAUAAGUUAAACACCCAGAACUCCUGCAUGGUGGCGUGGAAGCAUACCAGAGGUACUGCACUUGAUGUACUUGUGGCUCCCAAACCACCUCUCAGAGCACCCUCACUAAUACACUUACUUCAGCUAGAAAUUUCCUCUUCCGUGAGUAGCCCUUCAGUUCCAGCAGGUCAUUACAAAACCUCUUUGGCACCAGAACUGCUGUGAUGCACUGCAAAUCCAUGGACUCCUUUCGGGCAGAUGUCUACGGCAUCACAGUCUCAGCUCAGGUUUAACAUUGCUGCUGAUGCUUCUAUAUUGUUCCUAGUGAAUGUAGCAGCCCUUUGGGCUUCAUUUAGAUUCUGAAUGGUUUAUAGGGAGGUAAAUAUUUUUACGUGCCCCAAGAGCAGACAGUGCAGAGAUCCAUGAGAAAAACAAACGAACAAACCAACACCGAAUUCCACAAGCGCACACUAGACAUGGUUACAUGAUUAAUAUACAUAAAAACAGUACAUAGGGCCUGUAUGGUAGGGUCUUUAGAAGGUAACUGUCUAUCAGAAAGACCUUUGUUUUCAUAGGCUUUAGUAUGUUUAUUUUUUCUAAGAAAUAAGCAAAAUUAUAGUAAUCAAUCUAAAGUAUUUUUUCACACACCUCCAAAAUAGUAGUGCUUUUUUUUUUUUUAAUCAAUU
Long non-coding RNA from Gallus gallus (chicken), 1478 nucleotides. The record is from Ensembl. NCBI's taxonomy places the organism in Eukaryota, Metazoa, Chordata, Aves, Galliformes, Phasianidae.